RNAcentral lists this ribosomal RNA (497 nucleotides) under uncultured bacterium. Its description in RNAcentral is "partial 16S ribosomal RNA". It matches the Rfam family "Bacterial small subunit ribosomal RNA", at positions 28 to 507 of the family's 1533-position model. The record is from RNAcentral.
GAUGAACGCUGGCGGCGUGCCUAAUACAUGCAAGUCGAGCGAACGGACGAGAAGCUUGCUUCUCUGAUGUUAGCGGCGGACGGGUGAGUAACACGUGGAUAACCUACCUGUAAGACUGGGAUAACUUCGGGAAACCGGAGCUAAUACCGGAUGAUAUUUUGAACCGCAUGGUUCAAAAGUGAAAGACGGUCUUGCUGUCACUUAUAGAUGGAUCCGCGCUGCAUUAGCUAGUUGGUAAGGUAACGGCUUACCAAGGCAACGAUGCAUAGCCGACCUGAGAGGGUGAUCGGCCACACUGGAACUGAGACACGGUCCAGACUCCUACGGGAGGCAGCAGUAGGGAAUCUUCCGCAAUGGGCGAAAGCUUGACGGAGCAACGCCGCGUGAGUGAUGAAGGUCUUCGGAUCGUAAAACUCUGUUAUUAGGGAAGAACAAAUGUGUAAGUAACUGUGCACAUCUUGACGGUACCUAAUCAGAAAGCCACGGCUAACUACGUG